This 459-nucleotide ribosomal RNA is filed under the name uncultured bacterium. RNAcentral describes it as "partial 16S ribosomal RNA". It matches the Rfam family "Bacterial small subunit ribosomal RNA", at positions 339 to 795 of the family's 1533-position model. The record is from RNAcentral.
CUACGGGGGGCAGCAGUGAAGAAUAUUGGGCAAUGGAGGCAACUCUGACCCAGCCAUGCCGCGUGCAGGAAGACGGCCCUCUGGGUUGUAAACUGCUUUUGUUUGGGAAUAAACCCUUCUACGUGUAGAAGGCUGAAGGUACCUUACGAAUAAGGAUCGGCUAACUCCGUGCCAGCAGCCGCGGUAAUACGGAGGAUCCAAGCGUUAUCCGGAUUUAUUGGGUUUAAAGGGUCCGUAGGCGGAUCUUUAAGUCAGUGGUGAAAGCCCACAGCUCAACUGUGGAACUGCCAUUGAUACUGGAGAUCUUGAGUGUAGUAGAAGUAGGCGGAAUAGGGCAUGUAGCGGUGAAAUGCAUAGAUAUGCCCUAGAACACCGAUUGCGAAGGCAGCUUACUAUGUUACAACUGACGCUGAGGGACGAAAGCGUGGGGAGCAAACAGGAUUAGAUACCCGCGUAGUC